Molecule: ribosomal RNA, 521 nt
Filed under: uncultured Glomus
Lineage: Eukaryota; Fungi; Glomeromycota; Glomeromycetes; Glomerales; Glomeraceae
Description: SSU rRNA
Rfam family: Eukaryotic small subunit ribosomal RNA
Source: RNAcentral
AGCAGCCGCGGUAAUUCCAGCUCCAAUAGCGUAUAUUAAAGUUGCUGCAGUUAAAAAGCUCGUAGUUGAAUUUCGGGACCAUCAUGUCGGUCGUGCUUAGGUACGUACUGGUAUUGUUGGUUUCUCCCUUCUGACGAACCAUGAUGUCAUUUAUUUGGUGUUGUGGGGAAUCAGGACUGUUACUUUGAAAAAAUUAGAGUGUUUAAAGCAGGCUCACGCUUGAAUACAUUAGCAUGGAAUAAUGAAAUAGGACGUUUGAUUCUAUUUUGUUGGUUUCUAGGAUCGACGUAAUGAUUAAUAGGGAUAGUUGGGGGCAUUAGUAUUCAAUUGUCAGAGGUGAAAUUCUUGGAUUUAUUGAAGACUAACUACUGCGAAAGCAUUUGCCAAGGAUGUUUUCAUUAAUCAAGAACGAAAGUUAGGGGAUCGAAGACGAUCAGAUACCGUCGUAGUCUUAACCAUAAACUAUGCCGACUAGGGAUCGGAUGAUGUUAAUUUUUUAAUGACUCAUUCGGCGCCUUACG